AAAGGGUUUUCGGGAUGGUGCCUUAAGGCACAAAUGAGGUUUGAUGGGUUGUAUUGUUUUUACCUUGAAUAAGGAUUUAUGAAAAUAGUUUAUGAUUAGAUUGCACUAAAGUCUAUGGGUAGAGGUGAAUAUUCUAGAUAACAAGUCAAGCGUCUUGCAUCCGAAAUAAUCAGAGUAAGGGUAGGAAAGUUCCAUUCUUAAUCAUUCUCCACCACUUAAGACUCGUGGCGCACAAUACUAAUCGUAGUUUUUAUUCUAUUUUAAAUUUUAUUCUGAAAAUACCGCUUGACAUUGGAUCAAAGGUUUAUUUAUUUGAUUAUGAAAUUGUGUGGUGCAAUAGGUAUGCAAAGUAACCAACAAUAAAGUAAAUGGUCUCAUUGUAAGUGUCGCGGCUGGAAAUUGAUAGAGUCGCCACAAUCCUUUAUUCGUUCCUAAGGAAUAGGAAAAUAAUGAGGAAACCUAAUAACUAAGGGUGAAAUGCUAGGUUCGGGAGUCAAUUAAGUAAGGGGAAGGUACUAGGCACCCCUUACCUCCAUUGUACUCAAUGGGAUCUUCCUCUUAUUCUAGGGUUAGUGUGUUUGCCUAAAAAUGUUUG
This 595-nucleotide long non-coding RNA is filed under the name Lathyrus oleraceus (garden pea). RNAcentral describes it as "Pisum sativum (pea) long non-coding RNA (PSAT_LNC024391)". Lineage: Eukaryota; Viridiplantae; Streptophyta; Magnoliopsida; Fabales; Fabaceae. The record is from RNAcentral.